CUCGGCUCUUUCCGCCGGCAGCAGCCGGAAACAUCCGAAGCGGCGAGGAACGGGAGCGGGGCGCGCCUCCUCCUCCCAGCCAGGGACUACUGGUGAAUUCCGGAAACACCCGAAGAAGUUUCCGGGUGUUUUCAAACCCUGAACCGGGAGCGUGGAUCACCUGUGAGCGUUACCUAAAUAGAAAAUAAGACUGUUAGCCAGUCUGCGAUUGGCAUCCUUUGGUUCUAAAGCAACUAACCGUCUGCAUGUCCAUUCGUCUGUCGAUCAGCUCAUAAAAUCCGUCUGGUUUAUCUUCCAGCCUAUCAACACAUGUGUCACCUGUCAAAUACAGCGUUAGUCUGUUAAUAGUAUACCUACCAUUCACCACCUGCCACCCUCUAUGUGGCUCCUAUUUAUCUGUCCAUACAUCCCGCACCUACGCCGCAGGACUCUUCUGUGUCCAGGGCAGGCACCACCAGGUCAGCGUCCUUAGCUCCCAGAGCUGGGAGGCUGCAGAGGUCCUCUCAGCCCUGCACUCCAGCCCCCUCUCUGUGCAGUGAAAAUGCUGUGUGAUCUUGGAAAAAAUCACUUAAUGUCUCUGAGUUUAGGCUCAACAGCCCCAUGUUGAGAGAAUCCAUGUCUUUGUUCCACUGAUGACCUUCUAAAGAUCUUUGAAUUCCAGUCACCUCUCCUACUCAUUUCCCAGUUAUUUUUUUUUAACUCUUUUAAUGUUAAAAACAGCACAAAAUGACAUCACAGUAUGGUAACAUUGAGUCAUGCCAGUUAGGAGAAACAGUCUUAUCUUCAUUCAUAUUUCAGUUAUCCCUUCUAAGAAGAAAACUCAUGGAAAAGGAAAGCGAAGGUGGUUGAAAAUGAGGAUUCCUCAGAAUGGUACAAAGAAUGGACACCUGGAGGAGUUUUUUUCCUUCCCUGGGCCUCAGCUACCCCAUCAAAAAGUGAUGUCAUUGGAUUCAUGAGCUCAGAGAUCCCUGUCAGGGAGUGCCCCUGACUCUAACGGGAAAUUCAUGUGGCAACCUGAAUCUACUCUUCACUUCUCCCUAGGCUGUCUCCUCCUGGAAAGGCAGUUGGCUGGUGACUGGUCUGAUACCUCUGGCUCUAAGCUGUCCCCUCCCAUCACACCCAAGACAUGCUGGAGCUUGUGCCAGCCCUCCCACCCAGGGCUCAACAGCAGCUUAAGGUGGGCAGAGGCCAGAGUCCCCACAGGAGCCAGAGACCAGUCUCAAGCAACAAAUAUCCAGAGAUGCAGGGGCAGAGAAGCCUCAGGGGUUGUGGAAAAAAGUGCUGGUUGGACCACUGACGCUUGACUUCCAGCUCUCAGCUACAGUAUCUUGAGCAGAGCUGUUGGCCAAGUCUAGAGAAAUAGACCACCAGACAGAAGCAACAAGAUGAUGGCAGAGAAAAUACCUAAGGUGACAGGUAUCACCUGUUGACACCUUCCUGCCAACUCCUGCCCUGCCACCAAGCUCUCUCACCUCCAUGUUUUUGUUCAGGCUGAUCAAUUGCCAGCCACCUACUUCAGCUUCCAGAUGUACUUCAAGAUCUAAUUCAAAUGUCACCUUCUCAAAUCCCUGAACUCACCUACUUCUUUACUGCCAUACAUUUACCCUUCUCCAAUGUGCCAAUUCAGUCAUUCACAAAUCUCUAUUGAGCACGGACUAUGGGGAAGGCACUGUUCUAGGCUCUUUGUGUCUAUCAGGAGGAUGUCAGAAGGACCAACAGCAGCCUCAGACUUGGAAGCGGCAGAGGGGAAGUUGAUACCAGCUGGAGUUCAGGGUUCUAUGUGGCUUCCUGGAGGAGGUAGUGGGGCAGGUCCCCAGUGACUCACCAGUGUGACAAGAUGACACCCCCACAUACCCAAAGCUGGAGGUCCAUGGAGAAACACUUCUUUCUUCACCUACUACCCUCCCCAGGGACAACAGUGCCCAGGGCCCCUGGUCCCAAGGACAGCAGGGACAUUUCCUGAUUCCCAGUGGUGUCCCUUGUGCCUCAUACAGUCUGUCAAUUCCAUGGGAAUGAAAGCCACAGGGUUUGGCUCUAAUCUCCUCUUCCUUCAACUCCCUUUCCUUAUUUAGCUGCAUGUAAAUAUCUCCUGCUGCCGAGGAAGCCCUCUCUGCCCUGAGGGAUGAGAAUGCUAAGUGAUACCGUGGGGAGGCCAUCAGCCAUAUCCAGAACAGAGGUAAUCCUGUUCACCAAACAAGCCAGUGUUCUUAAACAAGAAAAGAAAAAAAGAAGGAAAAAAAGAGGAAAGAAAGGCUGUUACAGGUUGAAACAUAUCAACAAAGUGCAAUGUGUGAACCUCAGAUUCUGAUUCAAACAAAUCAGCUGUAAAGAGAUUCACAG
Long non-coding RNA from Manis pentadactyla (Chinese pangolin), 2340 nucleotides. RefSeq lists it as uncharacterized. The transcript has 3 exons. Lineage: Eukaryota; Metazoa; Chordata; Mammalia; Pholidota; Manidae. The record is from RefSeq and is a predicted model, not a curated record.